UACGUAGGGGGCAAGCGUUGUCCGGAAUUAUUGGGCGUAAGGCGCGUGUAGGCGGCUCGGUAAGUCUGCUGUGAAAGUCCAGGGCUCAACCCUGGAAUGCCGGUGGAUACUGUCGAGCUCGAGUCCGGAAGAGGCGAGUGGAAUUCCUGGUGUAGCGGUGAAAUGCGCAGAUAUCAGGAGGAACACCGGUGGCGAAGGCGGGUCUCUGGGCCGAUAUCGACGCUGAGGAGCGAAAGCGUGGGGAGCAAACAGG
RNAcentral lists this ribosomal RNA (253 nucleotides) under uncultured bacterium. RNAcentral's name for it is "partial 16S ribosomal RNA". It matches the Rfam family "Bacterial small subunit ribosomal RNA", at positions 524 to 776 of the family's 1533-position model. The record is from RNAcentral.